RNAcentral lists this ribosomal RNA (484 nucleotides) under uncultured bacterium. Its description in RNAcentral is "partial 16S ribosomal RNA". It matches the Rfam family "Bacterial small subunit ribosomal RNA", at positions 30 to 507 of the family's 1533-position model. The record is from RNAcentral.
AUUGAACGCUGGCGGCAGGCCUAACACAUGCAAGUCGAGCGGAUGAAGGGAGCUUGCUCCUGGAUUCAGCGGCGGACGGGUGAGUAAUGCCUAGGAAUCUGCCUGGUAGUGGGGGAUAACGUCCGGAAACGGGCGCUAAUACCGCAUACGUCCUGAGGGAGAAAGUGGGGGAUCUUCGGACCUCACGCUAUCAGAUGAGCCUAGGUCGGAUUAGCUAGUUGGUGGGGUAAAGGCCUACCAAGGCGACGAUCCGUAACUGGUCUGAGAGGAUGAUCAGUCACACUGGAACUGAGACACGGUCCAAACUCCUACGGGAGGCAGCAGUGGGGAAUAUUGGACCAUGGGCGAAAGCCUGAUCCAGCCAUGCCGCGUGUGUGAAGAAGGUCUUCGGAUUGUAAAGCACUUUAAGUUGGGAGGAAGGGCAGUAAGUUAAUACCUUGCUGUUUUGACGUUACCAACAGAAUAAGCACCGGCUAACUUCGUG